Molecule: long non-coding RNA, 2072 nt
Organism: Solanum tuberosum (potato)
Lineage: Eukaryota; Viridiplantae; Streptophyta; Magnoliopsida; Solanales; Solanaceae
Exons: 2
Source: RefSeq, a predicted model, not a curated record
UGUCCUAAAUUUCUAUUCCACGCUCUCCUUUUUCCUAUUCUUUCUACUUUCCAGAACUCAUGCUCUCUCCCUCACACGUUCCUCUACUCCUUCACAAGAAGAACGACGCGAACCCAAUAAUUCCAACGAGUCCUAGCCGUGGUUUAUCCAACUUUUGGCGAGGAACAUCAAUUUCAUAUAGCUGUCCCGUUCGUCCUUUCUUAUCCAGCGAGGAGUAAGAAUUCAAACAAUGACUCGUCCUUCUUAUUUCUUGUCAAUUCUUUUUCUCUCGAUUUUACCCUCUCUAGUACCAUUCGAGGUUUCCAAGCACUUUCUAAAAGAAUUUCGAAUUCACAGUAGUCCCACAUCAAAAAUCUUUCCAAAUUUCGUGAGAUUUUAGGUCCUAUAAAUAGGCCUUCUCUUCACUGUUCAAAGGGAGUUUUUUGGGAGGCGAGAAAAGGAACACCCAGCUAAGUGUUUUAGGAGUUCUUAUUUUUCGUCACUGAAAUUUUGUUGAUUUGCGGCUAUUUUGAGUGGGAGUGGUGUUGGAAUUCGUCACGUUCAAACUUGUUGUCCGGUUCGCUUCCCAAAAUCAGGUGAUCUUCCCUCCCUUUUUUUAUUCAGUUAUGUUAUUUCUUCUUUAGUUGAUUGGUAGUGAUGAUUUUUUUUGGCAGAGGCUAUAAAUUUGUAUUUGUCUUGCUGUGUUAUAAUAACAUGCUUAUGUUCAUUUUUUUGUUCUGUUUCUUGUUUCUUUAAUUCUCUCAUCAUGUUUAAAUUUUGUUUAGCUUCCCUGAGAUAGUUUUUCUCUAGCUAUUAAUAUGCAUAUGAGUUCAAUAACUUUUUAUUUUAUCUUGGACUACUUCGUAUAGGUCCUUCAUGUUGAUUUUGGGUGAUCUUUUAGUUUUAGUUUUGUUGUUCCAUGGGUAGAGUAAGUUUAUUUUCAUGUGCGUGCCUCUAGUUGUUGUUCCUGAUUAAGUUGGAAUAGCUAUGUAAAAUAGGUCCGCAACUAUUCCGUAGUCAAAUCUUCAUGUCCAUUUGAUUUGUUGUCUGUUAUCUCUCUAUUUUAGCUGAGUUUUUGAACCUGGAGUGUAUGCUCUUUAGUCUGUUAACUGUUUUAUCUUCACAUGCCUUUUUUAAUUCAUGCUGUACAACUGAUGGUUUCCUUCCUUCUCGUUGCCCUCUUUAAAUGCAUAUGAUUAAGAAUAUAAGUCGUUUACUCCUCUACAUCAAAAUGUUUCGUCUUAAAAUGCUAUGUUGAACUUGGUGGUUCUUAAAUUGCUCAUCAAUUGUAUUGCUGAAGUUUGUCUCUGUUUUGCCAAAACUGAUUAUUUUUAGUAUGUCUGUCUUGUCGGAAAUUGAAUAUUGAUAGAAAUAUGGAUUGAUUUUCUUUCAAGUUUUCUUCAGUUGUAUUCCUUUAAAUUUUGGCUGUUGACAACCAUUAAUUUCUAUUCCUUGAAGUUAAUCACUGUUGCUAAUAUAUUAUAGUUAAAGUUGAGUUGUGAUUAAUGGAAACAAUUAUGUGAUCAAGCUAGUCCUAUCUUUCUGUAGCUCCAUAUGUAUUGUUUUGACUUCCUGAACUAAACUCCUAAUAUUGGAUUGAAUUAUAUCACUUGCUUGUCAUUAAGUCAUUGGUUUUCGCUUAAUUGUUUUGCUAAUCUUUGUUUCCACCAUUUUUCUGUGUAUGAACCUUCUUGUUCGAGUCUAAUGGGACUCCCAUCCUUGCAUUCGUUUCUCUUUGAGUCAACCUCCUUUAAGCCGAUUGAAAGGAAGCUAAUAUUAUUGGAUUAAACACCAAGAAGACAGCACCAACAGUAGCCUAAAGGGCUAAAAGAGUAGCAUUUUCUUGGAGUUGAAAGUUAGAAAAUGGCACCAGCUGAAGCAGAGUUGCAACCGCCUCAAAAAGCUGAAAAACGAGGAGCAAAAUUGGGUUAAAACCCAUAAUUAAUGAGGCAAAGUUGCAGCAGCCUUAAAGUGCUGAAUUUAGCAUUUUCUUCGACUUAAAAGGUCGGAAAAUAGCGCCAGAAGCAGCAGAACAAGGAGCAGAUUAAGGAUGAAUCCUCACCAGAGUUAUCAAUGUUAUUUCUUAAAUCAUA